AGAAUCAACGCUGGCGGCGUGCCUAACACAUGCAAGUCGCACGAGAAAGGGGAGCAAUCCCUGAGUAAAGUGGCGCACGGGUGAGUAACACGUGAAUAAUCUACCUCCGAGUGGGGAAUAAACUGAGAGAAAUCUUAGCUAAUACCGCAUAACACUUACGAGGUCAAAGCAGCAAUGCGCUUGGAGAGGAGUUCGCGGCCGAUUAGUUAGUUGGCGGGGUAAUGGCCCACCAAGACGAUGAUCGGUA
This 247-nucleotide ribosomal RNA is filed under the name uncultured bacterium. RNAcentral describes it as "partial small subunit ribosomal RNA". It matches the Rfam family "Bacterial small subunit ribosomal RNA", at positions 26 to 285 of the family's 1533-position model. The record is from RNAcentral.